UGGGGAGUCGUCUAAUGGUAGGACAGCAGCCUCUGGAGCUGCCUAUUGGGGUUCAAGUCCCUGCUCCCCAGCCA
This 74-nucleotide transfer RNA is filed under the name Candidatus Rifleibacteriota bacterium. Its description in RNAcentral is "tRNA-Gln". It matches the Rfam family "tRNA". Rfam says of the family: Transfer RNA (tRNA) molecules are approximately 80 nucleotides in length. The record is from RNAcentral. Lineage: Bacteria; Candidatus Rifleibacteriota. RNAcentral also lists the same sequence under 1 other name.